RNAcentral lists this long non-coding RNA (1254 nucleotides) under Anser brachyrhynchus (Pink-footed goose). Its description in RNAcentral is "lncRNA (ENSABRG00000012356.1)". The record is from RNAcentral. Lineage: Eukaryota; Metazoa; Chordata; Aves; Anseriformes; Anatidae.
UUUCUGAUUACUUAAGUCUGGAGAGGCAGAAUCCCCAAAUGCAUUCUCUACCCUACUAGUCCAGAUUGCUAUCCCAAAUAUAACAAUGAAGAGCAAAGCAGUCACAUGAAACCAGCUCAGCUGGUUGUGUUCUCACCUGCUUAUUCCAAAUAUAUAGAAGUGCAGAUACAGUGAGGCACAGCACACUUGGGAUUACAAUAAAAUGGUGUUAGAUUGCAAGCAAAAUAGUAGGAAAGAUGGGAAAGUGAGAAAGAUGGCUUUUUCAUUGUUUUUCUUUUUUUCUUUUUUUUUUUUUUUAAGUGCUAGGUCUAUAUUUGUUUCCACACUUACAAAAUUAUUUGAGUACAUUUUUUUGUUGUUGUUGUUGGUUGGUUUUAUUUUUAAACCAAGAAGUGCUAUCAGUACAGGUAGCAGAGUGGAUGCUGCUAUAUUACCAUAACAGUUCUACCACAAUAAUCAAAUGUGAAUAAGCUAUACCAGUAGAAAUGUUUUUAUGCCAGUUCACCUACAGCCACUCUAGAACUUGUACCUUUUUUAACCUUGCAAAGUUCAAGAUGACAUAGUUAAAGUAGUGCAAACAUCACAUGUAAACAAACCUCUUAAAGUCUGUAGGUGAAAUUAUGACUCACCAACUUCAGUUUGACCAAGUAUUCACCCAGCUGUGCUGUUUUCCCAUUCAUCAGGUAGGAUUAACAGUGUUUACUUACCUCAUAUCAGUGCAGGGAAGAUUAAUUAUUGUCUGUAUGUUUUCAAUCAUUUGAGGAUGAAAAGUGCUACUAAACUACUAACCACCCACCACAAAGGAAGCUGUAAUGACCUACAGAACAAGCCAUUGGCUGCUUAUUUGAAAACCGAAGUAAGAGAAAAGCAAGAUUUGUGUCAAAUAGAUCCUUUUCAAAGCAUUCAAAUAGAUCCUUUUCAAAGCGUCAUCUUUGUGGAUGAAAAAAAAAUAAAGACGAGCACAAGCAAGUGUAUUUCCAUUACCCAAGCAUCUUUACAGCUGAACUGGAUAUUCACUAAGGCUUCAUGUCUGGAAGAAGACCUGUUUACCCCUUAACAUUAUGCGAAAGGACCUUGUGACUUCGCGUUUCCACUUCUGUUUGUUUUGUUAUUUUGUUGCUGUUGCUACAUAAUGUUCAUUCUUAUUAAAUAUCCAAAGUUUUAUUUUUGAAAGACUAAAACAUAGAAGAAAGAAAUCCCCUUAACAUGGCUGAUUACUUAUCUAAAAAAAAUAAAAUAAAAUAUGGGCAAGCA